GUCCUUUAGGCUGGAUGUUUGCUUUAUUUAUUGGGUUUGCUAUAAAUAGAGGCUCUGCUCCUCUGUAUCCCUGCUUCAUAAGAGAGGAAAUCAUCUAGAUGUUUGAAGCUGAACAAACAAACAAGAAGAAAACUGGAAGCCUCUCAUCACCUCCAAAAAUGCAGAAAACAUCAAAUUCAAGUGUCAACAGAACUCCAAAUUGUACCCCAUCCUCUGAACAAACAUGAGCCUAUAUUCUAACCUAAGACAAGUAUGGGCUUUUCUGUCUAAUGGUCUACAGAUUCUGGCUUCUUUUUUUUUAAGCAAGCGUAAAGUUUACAUUGUCAGCAACUGCCCCUCUUUUUAAUCAGAGGAGCUCCAGCUUGAGCUCUGCACAAGGAAGAAGGUGGGUCUCUCAGAUAGAUUCGUUCAAAACCUUAAAUUUCACAAUGGACAGUCAAAUUU
Molecule: long non-coding RNA, 444 nt
Organism: Dermochelys coriacea (leatherback sea turtle)
Lineage: Eukaryota; Metazoa; Chordata; Testudines; Dermochelyidae
Exons: 3
Source: RefSeq, a predicted model, not a curated record